UGAGCCGAAUUAGGAGCUCGGG
Molecule: unclassified non-coding RNA, 22 nt
Filed under: Mus musculus (house mouse)
Lineage: Eukaryota; Metazoa; Chordata; Mammalia; Rodentia; Muridae
Description: oocyte_clustered_small_RNA8492
Source: RNAcentral